Molecule: long non-coding RNA, 685 nt
Organism: Gavialis gangeticus (Gharial)
Lineage: Eukaryota; Metazoa; Chordata; Crocodylia; Gavialidae
Exons: 2
Source: RefSeq, a predicted model, not a curated record
UAUACAAGCAACACUCCUGACCUACCUUCUGCCCAAGCUCAGACUACCAGGGCUUGCCACCUCUUCCCUUACUCUGAGUUGGUUAUUUUUUUUUACUGUGUGAACUAUCCCCCUUGCUUUGUCCCAGGUAGCACAGUGCUUUGGAAAGGUGCUGGACUGGCAACCUUUGGGAAUGAAGUUCACGUUCUCUUUUAUCUGCUGACAUCAGUUCUAGUGACAAUAGGAUCCAUUGGUGACACUCCACACCUUCCCGAAUGUGCCUCUUCUCUGACCAGGAGAGAAGUCCUGUAUAAGGGAGAUGUUUCCAUCUCCAUUCAUUCUCAGUGCCCUUUCAAGUCUUUGUUAAAACUCAUAAAUAGGUGUGUCACCUGGUGCUAGUGGCUACUUGAUUUUAUAGAUUAAUAUUAACUUUCAUCCAUCAGAAUGCACUAGCUAAAGUAUACAAGAUAAACUCAGCAUCUAGAUGCAAUGAAAUUCAAAUACAUGGGCCAAAAUGGACCAAAAGGACUUUCAUUAUCCAGAGGCUUUAACUCUGACACCUACCUCAUUCUCAGAUACUCUGAAAGACCGACACCCCUAAAGUACAUCCAGAAGACUUUUAGGCAUGAAAGGGAAAGAAACACCUUUCACAGCUGCAUACCUUGGACCAAGAAUCGGUCAACCUACUGGGUUCAACCUACUUGAU